RNAcentral lists this ribosomal RNA (496 nucleotides) under uncultured bacterium. RNAcentral describes it as "partial 16S ribosomal RNA". It matches the Rfam family "Bacterial small subunit ribosomal RNA", at positions 28 to 507 of the family's 1533-position model. The record is from RNAcentral.
GAUGAACGCUGGCGGCGUGCCUAAUACAUGCAAGUCGAGCGAACAGACGAGGAGCUUGCUCCUCUGACGUUAGCGGCGGACGGGUGAGUAACACGUGGAUAACCUACCUAUAAGACUGGGAUAACUUCGGGAAACCGGAGCUAAUACCGGAUAAUAUAUUGAACCGCAUGGUUCAAUAGUGAAAGACGGUUUUGCUGUACUUAUAGAUGGAUCCGCGCCGCAUUAGCUAGUUGGUAAGGUAACGGCUUACCAAGGCAACGAUGCGUAGCCGACCUGAGAGGGUGAUCGGCCACACUGGAACUGAGACACGGUCCAGACUCCUACGGGAGGCAGCAGUAGGGAAUCUUCCGCAAAGGGCGAAAGCCUGACGGAGCAACGCCGCGUGAGUGAUGAAGGUCUUCGGAUCGUAAAACUCUGUUAUUAGGGAAGAACAAAUGUGUAAGUAACUAUGCACGUCUUGACGGUACCUAAUCAGAAAGCCACGGCUAACUACGUG